GUGGGGAAUCUUGCGCAAUGGGCGAAAGCCUGACGCAGCCAUGCCGCGUGAAUGAUGAAGGUCUUAGGAUUGUAAAAUUCUUUCACCGGGGACGAUAAUGACGGUACCCGGAGAAGAAGCUCCGGCUAACUUCGUGCCAGCAGCCGCGGUAAUACGAAGGGGGCUAGCGUUGCUCGGAAUUACUGGGCGUAAAGGGCGCGUAGGCGGACAGCUUAGUCAGAGGUGAAAGCCCAGGGCUCAACCUUGGAAUUGCCUUGGAGACUGGCUGUCUUGAGUUUGGGAGAGGUGAGUGGAACUCCGAGUGUAGAGGUGAAAUUCGUAGAUAUUCGGAAGAACACCAGUGGCGAAGGCGACUCACUGGCCCAAUACUGACGCUGAGGCGCGAAAGCGUGGGGAGCAAACAGGAUUAGAAACCCCGGUAGUCC
This 425-nucleotide ribosomal RNA is filed under the name uncultured bacterium. RNAcentral describes it as "partial 16S ribosomal RNA". It matches the Rfam family "Bacterial small subunit ribosomal RNA", at positions 354 to 796 of the family's 1533-position model. The record is from RNAcentral.